RNAcentral lists this ribosomal RNA (564 nucleotides) under uncultured bacterium. RNAcentral's name for it is "bacterial SSU rRNA". It matches the Rfam family "Bacterial small subunit ribosomal RNA", at positions 338 to 916 of the family's 1533-position model. The record is from RNAcentral.
CCUACGGGAGGCAGCAGUGAGGAAUUUUCUGCAAUGGACGAAAGUCUGACAGAGCAAUACCGCGUGAGGGAUGAAGGCCUACGGGUUGUAAACCUCUUUUCUCAAGGAGGAAGAUCUGACGUUACUUGAGGAAUAAGCAUCGGCUAACCCUGUGCCAGCAGCCGCGGUAAUACAGGGGAUGCAAGUGUUAUCCGGAAUUAUUGGGCGUAAAGCGUCUGCAGGUGGAUAAAUAAGUCCUUUGUUAAAUCUCUGAGCUUAACUCAGAAUCUGCAAAAGAAACUGUUUAUCUUGAGUAUGGUAGAGGUAAGGGGAAUUUCCAGUGGAGCGGUGAAAUGCGUAGAUAUUGGAAAGAACACCAACAGCGAAGGCACCUUACUGGGCCAGUACUGACACUCAGAGACGAAAGCUAGGGGAGCAAACGGGGAUUAGAUACCCCGGUAGUCCUAGCUGUAAACGAUGGAUACUAGAUGUUGUGUACUUUAGGUAUGCAGUGUCGUAGCUAACGCGUUAAGUAUCCCGCCUGGGAAGUAUGCUCGCAAGNGUAGAAACUNAAUGAAUUGACGG